Molecule: ribosomal RNA, 1399 nt
Filed under: Cronobacter sakazakii
Lineage: Bacteria; Pseudomonadati; Pseudomonadota; Gammaproteobacteria; Enterobacterales; Enterobacteriaceae
Description: partial 23S ribosomal RNA
Rfam family: Bacterial large subunit ribosomal RNA
Source: RNAcentral
GUUAAGGCUGAGGCGUGAUGACGAGGCACCACGGUGCUGAAGUGACAAAUGCCCUGCUUCCAGGAAAAGCCUCUAAGCAUCAGGUAACAUCAAAUCGUACCCCAAACCGACACAGGUGGUCAGGUAGAGAAUACCAAGGCGCUUGAGAGAACUCGGGUGAAGGAACUAGGCAAAAUGGUGCCGUAACUUCGGGAGAAGGCACGCUGACAUGUAGGUGAAGCCCCUGCGGGUGGAGCUGAAGUCAGUCGAAGAUACCAGCUGGCUGCAACUGUUUAUUAAAAACACAGCACUGUGCAAACACGAAAGUGGACGUAUACGGUGUGACGCCUGCCCGGUGCCGGAAGGUUAAUUGAUGGGGUUAUCGCAAGAGAAGCUCCUGAUCGAAGCCCCGGUAAACGGCGGCCGUAACUAUAACGGUCCUAAGGUAGCGAAAUUCCUUGUCGGGUAAGUUCCGACCUGCACGAAUGGCGUAAUGAUGGCCAGGCUGUCUCCACCCGAGACUCAGUGAAAUUGAACUCGCUGUGAAGAUGCAGUGUACCCGCGGCAAGACGGAAAGACCCCGUGAACCUUUACUACAGCUUGACACUGAACAUUGAGCCUUGAUGUGUAGGAUAGGUGGGAGGCUUUGAAGCGUGGACGCCAGUCUGCGUGGAGCCAACCUUGAAAUACCACCCUUUAAUGUUUGAUGUUCUAACCUGGCGCCGUGAUCCGGCGUGGGGACAGUGUCUGGUGGGUAGUUUGACUGGGGCGGUCUCCUCCCAAAGUGUAACGGAGGAGCACGAAGGUCAGCUAAUCCUGGUCGGACAUCAGGAGGUUAGUGCAAUGGCAUAAGCUGGCUUGACUGCGAGAGUGACGGCUCGAGCAGGUGCGAAAGCAGGUCAUAGUGAUCCGGUGGUUCUGUAUGGAAGGGCCAUCGCUCAACGGAUAAAAGGUACUCCGGGGAUAACAGGCUGAUACCGCCCAAGAGUUCAUAUCGACGGCGGUGUUUGGCACCUCGAUGUCGGCUCAUCACAUCCUGGGGCUGAAGUAGGUCCCAAGGGUAUGGCUGUUCGCCAUUUAAAGUGGUACGCGAGCUGGGUUUAGAACGUCGUGAGACAGUUCGGUCCCUAUCUGCCGUGGGCGCUGGAGAAUUGAGGGGGGCUGCUCCCAGUACGAGAGGACCGGAGUGGACGCAUCACUGGUGUUCGGGUUGUCAUGCCAAUGGCACUGCCCGGUAGCUAAAUGCGGAAGAGAUAAGUGCUGAAAGCAUCUAAGCACGAAACUUGCCCCGAGAUGAGUUCUCCCUGAGACUUUAAGUCUCCUGAAGGAACGUUGAAGACGACGACGUUGAUAGGCCGGGUGUGUAAGCGCAGCGAUGCGUUGAGCUAACCGGUACUAAUGAACCGUGAGGCUUAACCUU